RNAcentral lists this ribosomal RNA (301 nucleotides) under uncultured bacterium. Its description in RNAcentral is "partial 16S ribosomal RNA". It matches the Rfam family "Bacterial small subunit ribosomal RNA", at positions 509 to 807 of the family's 1533-position model. The record is from RNAcentral.
CAGCAGCCGCGGGAAUACGAGGGGGGCAAGCGUUGUUCGGAAUUAUUGGGCGUAAAGGGUGCGUAGGCGGUUUGACAAGUUUUGUGUGAAAUCUCUGGGCUCAACCCAGAGUCUGCACGGGAAACUGUCGGGCUAGAGGAUGGGAGAGGUGAGUGGAGUUUCCGGUGGAGCGGUGAAAUGCGUUGAGAUCGGAAAGAACACCAACGGCGAAAGCACUCUGCUGGGCCGACACUGGCACUGAGAGACGAAAGCUAGGGGAGCAAAUGGGAUUAGAUAACCCUGUAGUCCCUGUCUCUUAUAC